This 478-nucleotide ribosomal RNA is filed under the name uncultured Pirellula sp. Its description in RNAcentral is "bacterial SSU rRNA". It matches the Rfam family "Bacterial small subunit ribosomal RNA", at positions 8 to 488 of the family's 1533-position model. Lineage: Bacteria; Pseudomonadati; Planctomycetota; Planctomycetia; Pirellulales; Pirellulaceae. The record is from RNAcentral.
AGAGUUUGAUCCUGGCUCAGAGCGAACGUUGGCGGCGUGGUUUAGACAUGCAAGUCGAGCGGAAAGGCCCUUCGGGGCACUCGAGCGGCGAACGGGAGAGUAAUACCUAGGCAAUCCACCCUAAAGACGGGGAUAGCCACUGGAAACGGUGGGUAAUACCCGAUGGCCCCCGCGGGUCUUAUGGCCUGCGGGGUAAAAGGUGAUUCCGCUUUGGGACGAGCCUAGGUCCCAUUAGCUAGUUGGUGAGGUAACGGCUCACCAAGGCGACGAUGGGUAGCGGGCCUGAGAGGGUGACCCGCCUCACUGGGACUGAGACACUGCCCAGACUCCUACGGGAGGCUGCAGUCGCGAAUCAUUGGCAAUGCGCGCAAGCGUGACCAUGCAACGCCGCGUGGGCGAUGAAGGCCUUCGGGUUGUAAAGCCCUGUCAGGGGUGAAGAAUGCUACGGGUCCACUCGUAGUUGACGUAGCCCCAAAGA